RNAcentral lists this ribosomal RNA (1175 nucleotides) under metagenome. Its description in RNAcentral is "SSU rRNA". It matches the Rfam family "Eukaryotic small subunit ribosomal RNA", at positions 558 to 1758 of the family's 1831-position model. The record is from RNAcentral.
AGUCUGGUGCCAGCAGCCGCGGUAAUUCCAGCUCCGCAGGUGUAUAUCUAUGCUGCUGCGGUUAAAAAGCUCGUAGUUGGAUCUGCGUGCUCGGAACUGGUUGGCUCACUGAGUUCAAACUGGUCUCCGGCGCUUUAUUGGCUGGUUUUCCCUUGAUGCUCUUAACCGGGUGUCUUGGGUGGCUAGCACGUUUACUUUGAAAAAAUUAGAGUGCUCAAUACAGGCGUAAAGCCUUGAAUAGUGUGCAUGGAAUAAUAGAAUAGGACCUCGGCUCUAUUUUGUUGGUUUUCGGAACGCGAGGUAAUGAUUAAGAGGGACAGACGGGGGCAUUCGUAUUGCGACGUUAGAGGUGAAAUUCUUGGAUCGUCGCAAGACGGACGACUGCGAAAGCAUUUGCCAAGAAUGUUUUCAUUGAUCAAGAACGAAAGUUAGAGGUUCGAAGGCGAUCAGAUACCCCCCUAGUUCUAACCGUAAACGAUGCCAACUAGCGAUUCGCAGGCGUUAAACAACGACCUUGCGGGCAGCUUCCCGGAAACGAAAGUGUUCGGGUUCCGGGGGAAGUAUGGUUGCAAAGCUGAAACUUAAAGGAAUUGACGGAAGGGCACCACCAGGAGUGGAGCCUGCGGCUUAAUUUGACCCAACACGGGAAAACUCACCCGGCCCGGACACCGUAAGGAUUGACAGAUUGAGAGCUCUUUCUUGAUUCGGUGGGUGGUGGUGCAUGGCCGUUCUUAGUUGGUGGAGCGAUUUGUCUGGUUUAUUCCGAUAACGAACGAGACUCUGGCCUACUAAAUAGUGGGCGGAUUCUUUCUGUCCGCAACACUUCUUAGAGGGACAAGCGGUGUUCAGCCGCACGAGAUUGAGCAAUAACAGGUCUGUGAUGCCCUUAGAUGUCCGGGGCUGCACGCGCGCUACACUGAAGGAAUCAGCGUGCUUUCUGACCUUGCCCGAAAGGGCUGGGUGACCCGAUGAAAAUCCUUCGUGAUUGGGAUAGGGACUUGCAAUUAUUUCCCUUGAACGAGGAAUUCCCAGUAAGUGUGGGUCAUAAGCUCGCGUUGAUUACGUCCCUGCCCUUUGUACACACCGCCCGUCGCUGCCCGGAACUGAGCCGUUUCGAGAAGAACAGGGACCGUCGUUGAAGGGCCUUAACGGGCUUUUCUCUGAUAGAAACUGUU